Molecule: ribosomal RNA, 441 nt
Filed under: uncultured bacterium
Lineage: Bacteria
Description: partial 16S ribosomal RNA
Rfam family: Bacterial small subunit ribosomal RNA
Source: RNAcentral
CCUACGGGAGGCAGCAGUGGGGAAUAUUGCACAAUGGGGGAAACCCUGAUGCAGCCACGCCGCGUGAGUGAAGAAGUAUUUAGGUAUGUAAAGCUCUAUCAGCAGGGAAGCAAUACGACGGUACCUGACUAAGAAGCCGCGGCUAACUACGUGCCAGCAGCCGCGGCAAUACGUAGGGGGCAAGCGUUAUCCGGCUUUACAGGGUGUAAAGGGAUCGUAGACGGCGCGGCAAGUGUAAAGUGAAAGGCAGGGGCUUAACCACGGAACUGCUUUGGAAACUGCCAUGCUAGAGUGCGGGCGAGGUAAGCGGAAUUCCUCGUGUAGCGGUGAAAUGCGUAGAUAUUAGGAGGAACACCAGUGGCGAAGGCGGCUUACUGGACAGUAACUGACGUUGAGGCUCGAAAGCGCGGGGAGCAAACAGGAUUAGAUACCCCUGUAGUC